UACACUUACAGUGUUAGAUGAUUAGUCCAUAUAUACUUGGAUAACCACUGUACUAACUUGCAACAAAACCAUAAGAUUGACACAGCGGUUUUGCUUCCAGUGGUGUUCCUCACAAAACUCACUCUACCCAAAUCCAUGGGUUCACACAGUGGUUUUGCUUCCACAACCCUUCAAAGUGUGUUUGAUGUAAUGCAUAUGUGACUGCCUCGCUUGGCAUUGUACUGUCAAUUGGAUGUGUAAUUGAAAGAGCUGCCAUUAAAUUCCCAAGUGCUCUGUUUGAUGAAUUUGUUUGUGCCUGCAAUCAUUGAUCUGGAGAUGGCUUCCAUUGUUCUGUGUUCGAUCAUUGGUGGUAUGUGAACUUUGGAAAAACUUCAUUAUAUAUGGUGCAUUUUGGUGUUUAAUUAUCUUGGAGUGGGUAAUGAAACUUCUGGUGUUAUUUUCAA
Camellia sinensis is the source of this 443-nucleotide long non-coding RNA. RefSeq lists it as uncharacterized. NCBI's taxonomy places the organism in Eukaryota, Viridiplantae, Streptophyta, Magnoliopsida, Ericales, Theaceae. The record is from RefSeq and is a predicted model, not a curated record.